This 1259-nucleotide small RNA is filed under the name Pan troglodytes (chimpanzee). RNAcentral's name for it is "retained intron". Lineage: Eukaryota; Metazoa; Chordata; Mammalia; Primates; Hominidae. The record is from RNAcentral.
CUUCGCCGCCGGCCGACGGGCGCCAUUGUGCGGCGCGCGCCGGGACUCUGCCCACUUCCACCAGAGACACAUUGAGAAGGAGGAAACUAUGGCCUCCAGGCUUCCGACGGCCUGGUCCUGUGAACCAGUGACCUUUGAAGAUGUAACACUGGGUUUUACCCCGGAAGAGUGGGGACUGCUGGACCUCAAACAGAAGUCCCUGUACAGGGAAGUGAUGCUGGAGAACUACAGGAACCUGGUCUCAGUGGAACAUCAGCUUUCCAAACCAGAUGUGGUAUCUCAGUUAGAGGAGGCAGAAGAUUUCUGGCCAGUGGAGAGAGGAAUUCCUCAAGACACCAUUCCAGAGUAUCCUGAGCUCCAGCUGGACCCUAAAUUGGAUCCUCUUCCUGCUGAGAGUCCCCUGAUGAACAUUGAGGUUGUUGAGGUCCUCACACUGAACCAGGAGGUGGCUGGUCCCCGGAAUGCCCAGAUCCAGGCCCUAUAUGCUGAAGAUGGAAGCCUGAGUGCAGAUGCCCCCAGUGAGCAGGUCCAACAGCAGGGCAAGCAUCCAGGUGACCCUGAGGCCGCGCGCCAGAGGUUCCGGCAGUUCCGUUAUAAGGACAUGACAGGUCCCCGGGAGGCCCUGGACCAGCUCCGAGAGCUGUGUCACCAGUGGCUACAGCCUAAGGCACGCUCCAAGGAGCAGAUCCUGGAGUUGCUGGUGCUGGAGCAGUUCCUAGGUGCACUGCCUGUGAAGCUCCGGACAUGGGUGGAAUCGCAGCACCCAGAGAACUGCCAAGAGGUGGUGGCCCUGGUAGAGGGUGUGACCUGGAUGUCUGAGGAGGAAGUACUUCCUGCAGGACAACCUGCCGAGGGCACCACCUGCUGCCUCGAGGUCACUGCCCAGCAGGAGGAGAAGCAGGAGGAUGCAGCCAUCUGCCCAGUGACAGUGCUCCCUGAGGUAAGCGGGGAGUAUCACCCUGUUUUGGUCACAGCAUCUCCUGUGAGGCAGGCCCACCCCUGAGGCAUCCACUCUGCCCUGGGCUUUCCUAAGACCUCCCACAGGCUGGGACAUUCUGAGAUUCUGAGCUCUUAGGUCUGUGCUGAAGCAAUCUGAGUAUGAAGAGCAGCCCUGCCCUCCAGCCACUGUGGCAUCACUGGAGACAACGCAUGGUGACCCGGGAGCUGAGAAAGCAGGAGGCAAAAGGGAAGGGACUAAGUGUUUACAGAGACUUGAGAGGUGGAACUACCACAGGCAGGCACAUCUGUAUCCAGGUCAG